GCUUGACNUAUACCGGAACGUUCAGAANNGNUCGCCCCGCAAGGUCGGUAUACAGGUGGUGCAUGGUUGUCGUCAGCUCGUGUCGUGAGAUGUUGGGUUAAGUCCCGCAACGAGCGCAACCCUCGUCGUAUGUUGCCAGCACGUAAUGGUGGGAACUCAUAUGAGACUGCCGGGGUCAACUCGGAGGAAGGUGGGGAUGACGUCAAAUCAUCAUGCCCCUUAUGUCUUGGGCUUCACGCAUGCUACAAUGGCUGGUACAAUGGGCUGCAAUACCGCGAGGUGGAGCGAAUCCCAAAAAGCCAGUCUCAGUUCGGAUUGGGGUCUGCAACUCGACCCCAUGAAGUCGGAGUCGCUAGUAAUCGCAGAUCAGCAACGCUACGGUGAAUACGUUCCCGGGA
This 398-nucleotide ribosomal RNA is filed under the name Pseudoclavibacter sp. AZTITEMP148. Its description in RNAcentral is "bacterial SSU rRNA". It matches the Rfam family "Bacterial small subunit ribosomal RNA", at positions 979 to 1378 of the family's 1533-position model. Lineage: Bacteria; Bacillati; Actinomycetota; Actinomycetes; Micrococcales; Microbacteriaceae. The record is from RNAcentral.